GUGUCUGUAUGUAUGUGUCUGUAUUUGUGUGUGUCUCUGUAUGUAUGUGUCUGUAUGUGUGUGUCUGUACAGACACAUACAUACAGAGACACACACACAUACAGACAGACACA
This 113-nucleotide microRNA precursor is filed under the name Pelobates cultripes (western spadefoot toad). The record is from RNAcentral. Lineage: Eukaryota; Metazoa; Chordata; Amphibia; Anura; Pelobatidae.